This 25-nucleotide non-coding RNA is filed under the name Mus musculus (house mouse). The record is from RNAcentral. Lineage: Eukaryota; Metazoa; Chordata; Mammalia; Rodentia; Muridae.
UGGGUAAACUGCACCAAUGUGGGAU